UUAAGUCAGAAGUGAAAUCCAAUAGCUCAACUAUUGAACUGCUUUUGAAACUGAUUACCUAGAAUAUGGGAGAGGUAGAUGGAAUUUCUGGUGUAGGGGUAAAAUCCGUAGAGAUCAGAAGGAAUACCGAUUGCGAAGGCGAUCUACUGGAACAUUAUUGACGCUGAGACGCGAAAGCGUGGGGAGCAAACAGGAUUAGAUACCCUGGUAGUCCACGCCCUAAACGAUGUACACUAGUUGUUGUGAGGCUCGACCUUGCAGUAAUGCAGUUAACACAUUAAGUGUACCGCCUGGGGAGUACGGUCGCAAGAUUAAAACUCAAAGGAAUAGACGGGGACCCGCACAAGCGGUGGAGCAUGUGGUUUAAUUCGACGAUACACGAAGAACCUUACCUGGACUUGACAUAGUAAGAACUUUCUAGAGAUAGAUUGGUGUCUGCUUGCAGAAACUUAUAUACAGGUGCUGCACGGCUGUCGUCAGCUCGUGUCGUGAGAUGUUGGGUUAAGUCCCGCAACGAGCGCAACCCUCGUCAUUAGUUGCUAACAGUUCGGCUGAGAACUCUAAUGAGACUGCCUACGCAAGUAGGAGGAAGGUGAGGACGACGUCAAGUCAUCAUGGCCCUUACGUCCAGGGCUACACACGUGCUACAAUGGGGUAUACAAAGAGCCGCAAUACGGUGACGUGGAGCAAAUCUCAAAAAUAUCUCCCAGUUCGGAUUGUAGUCUGCAACUCGACUACA
Molecule: ribosomal RNA, 739 nt
Filed under: uncultured Arcobacter sp.
Lineage: Bacteria; Pseudomonadati; Campylobacterota; Epsilonproteobacteria; Campylobacterales; Arcobacteraceae
Description: bacterial SSU rRNA
Rfam family: Bacterial small subunit ribosomal RNA
Source: RNAcentral